GACAUAGGUGGCGAACGUUAUCCGGAAUUAUUGGGCGUAAAGGGUGCGUAGGCGGCAUGAUAAGUUAUUGGCGGCAAAUCGAGGCUCAACCUCGUGGAAACUAAUAAUACUGUCUUGCUUGAGUGCAGAAGAGGUUAACGGAACUCCAUGUGGAGCGGUAAAAUGUGUAGAUAUAUGGAAGAACAUCAAUAACGGCGGAGGCAGUUAACUAUUCUGUUACUGACGUUGAGGCACGAAAGCGUGGGGAGCAAAAAGG
Molecule: ribosomal RNA, 256 nt
Filed under: uncultured bacterium
Lineage: Bacteria
Description: partial 16S ribosomal RNA
Rfam family: Bacterial small subunit ribosomal RNA
Source: RNAcentral